Long non-coding RNA from Cannabis sativa, 1842 nucleotides. RefSeq lists it as uncharacterized. The record is from RefSeq and is a predicted model, not a curated record. Lineage: Eukaryota; Viridiplantae; Streptophyta; Magnoliopsida; Rosales; Cannabaceae. The transcript has 2 exons.
AAGUGAGAACACCAUACUAUAAAAUAAGUAUAAAUAUUCACAUUAAUUUUCUUCUUUUCAAUUUUCUCAUCAUCUAUUCUUGCUCUCAGUAUGAUUUAAUAAAAACAUUCAGGCAUUUAUAUCCAACUAAGCAACCCUUAAUUAUCAAAUUGAAAUUAGAAAAUAUUUGGGCAUUCAGACAUCGUUUUUUUUAUUAUCAAAUUAAAAUUAGAAAACAUUCGGGUAUUCAGGCAUUCUUUUUUUAUUAUCAAACACCAUUUUAUUUAGAGAUUUUUCGACAUAUAUUACUGUAACAUUUUGAAUUAGGGAAAAUGUAUUGGUAGAUUUAUGUUCUCCUAGUGAGUUUACCAAAAUAAAUAUUAACAUUAUUUGAAAAUAAUUAUAAGUAAAUAAUAUGUCAAAAAAAAAUUAUGUAGUAAACAAUAAAUUCAGCUAAAGCUCACUAAAAUGUGUAGAAGAAAAUGAAGGAUUCGUUGGAGUCGCACAUGAAAAUGGAGCUCUCUCCAAAGAUGUAUAAUACUUAUAUAUAACUUCAUACCCUUAUUUUGUUAAGUAAGGAGUUUUACAAAGUUUGUUGCUAAUUAGUAAAGGUUAUUUUGACUUGUGGCAAGAAUUGAUCUUUCAAAAUAAAAAGAGCCAAAUAUAAAGAAAAUGGUACAAAAAUUGUUAACCAAAAUUUUCUAAAUUUUAAUGUUUUGUUUGUUGUCUAGUAAAAUAAGAAUAAUUUUGUAAUUAUUCUUACUAAAUUUUGAUUAUAAUUGUUCUCGCAUAAAUCUGGACACAAAUAUCUAGUCACACUUGUUCGUUAUAUCGGUGUAUUAUAAGUUAAGUAUAAAUAAGAGAGAUACAAUGAUUUAUAGUAAUUCACUCUCUGUAAUCGACAGUAAUAGAGCUACGUCUACUUCAAAUUUUAUUUCUCAUGAGAUGAAUUACAGAUAAUGACUAAGUUUGGAUGCUCUAAUUUCUAGGGAGAGAUACUCUGACUUCAUGAGUACUUUUUUGAACUUCAAAAAAUGAACUAGUAGAGCUCUUCUUUAUAGGGAAUGUAAUACCUUAAGGUUUAAUAACCGGAUUAGCAACCCUAAUAAACUAGAUUAAUUAUGUAUUAAUAAGGAAUUAUAUUAUUAUAUAAUUUAAUAUGUGAAAACUAUUAUGAUAUAUUGCAUUUUAAGAUCUCGUUAGUGUGUCAGGGGUAUUUUCGUAAUUUCGUCACGAGAAGGGUAAAAUCAUAAUUUUAUGAUAUACUGUGUUUAUGAAUUAUAUUAUUAUAUAAUAUGUUUAUUCUGUCUAUCUGCAGGUAUUUUUUGACAAGUCAGCACGGUAUAGUAACAACUAGGUAUUUUAAGCCGAACCAAAUUUGGGGUCCAAAAUACAUUUUCAGAAUUUAUUUAUGACAUUUAUAUGAUAAAUGAGAAAAUUUGAAUUAUUGUGUGUGUGCUAAAUGACAAUAUUGCCCUUAUUUAUAUGUGUAUGAUAUAUAUGGCCUUAGGGGUAUUUUGGUCAUUUGACCACAUAAGUCAGUAUUCAACAAAAUCAAUUUUUUGUUUAGAAAUUAGAAAACCAUUUUCUGAGUUUGAACCCCCUUAACCGACCCCUCUCUCUCUCUCACCCUCUCUAUUUUUUAUUUCAAUUGAUUUGGAAGAAAAGCUUGAAGUUGGUGUGAUUUUGCUUGCUUGGGAACUUAGAGAAUUUAAGGAGAGGAGAGGAGCAUAUCCGUUUACCUGAAGAGAAAGUAAAAUAGCAUAUCCGACUUCUCCCAUGAAAAAGUAACUAGUGGAACAUAGAGAAGGUAUACCCUACACUACACCUAAAUAAAUGUUGUGUUAUUACCAAAAAAAAAAA